UUUAUUUAGAGAGUUUGAUCCUGGCUCAGGAUGAACGCUGGCGGCGUGCUUAACACAUGCAAGUCGAACGAAGCGCUUUGGACAGAUUCUUCGGAUGAAGUCCUUAGUGACUGAGUGGCGGACGGGUGAGUAACGCGUGGGUAACCUGCCUCAUACAGGGGGAUAACAGUUAGAAAUGGCUGCUAAUA
This 188-nucleotide ribosomal RNA is filed under the name Blautia sp. AF25-12LB. RNAcentral describes it as "partial 16S ribosomal RNA". It matches the Rfam family "Bacterial small subunit ribosomal RNA", at positions 1 to 168 of the family's 1533-position model. Lineage: Bacteria; Bacillati; Bacillota; Clostridia; Lachnospirales; Lachnospiraceae. The record is from RNAcentral.